GACGAACGCUGUCGGCGUGCUUAACACAUGCAAGUCGAACGGAAAGGCCCUGCUUUUGUGGGGUGCUCGAGUGGCGAACGGGUGAGUAACACGUGAGUAACCUGCCCUUGACUUUGGGAUAACUUCAGGAAACUGGGGCUAAUACCGGAUAGGAGCUCCUGCUGCAUGGUGGGGGUUGGAAAGUUUCGGCGGUUGGGGAUGGACUCGCGGCUUAUCAGCUUGUUGGUGGGGUAGUGGCUUACCAAGGCUUUGACGGGUAGCCGGCCUGAGAGGGUGACCGGCCACAUUGGGACUGAGAUACGGCCCAGACUCCUACGGGAGGCAGCAGUGGGGAAUAUUGCACAAUGGGCGGAAGCCUGAUGCAGCAACGCCGCGUGCGGGAUGACGGCCUUCGGGUUGUAAACCGCUUUCGCCUGUGACGAAGCGUGAGUGACGGUAAUGGGUAAAGAAGCACCGGCUAACUACGUGCCAGCAGCCGCGGUGAUACGUAGGGUGCGAGCGUUGUCCGGAUUUAUUGGGCGUAAAGGGCUCGUAGGUGGUUGAUCGCGUCGGAAGUGUAAUCUUGGGGCUUAACCCUGAGCGUGCUUUCGAUACGGGUUGACUUGAGGAAGGUAGGGGAGAAUGGAAUUCCUGGUGGAGCGGUGGAAUGCGCAGAUAUCAGGAGGAACGCCAGUGGCGAAGGCGGUUCUCUGGGCCUUUCCUGACGCUGAGGAGCGAAAGCGUGGGGAGCGAACAGGCUUAGAUACCCUGGUAGUCCACGCUGUAAACGGUGGGUACUAGGUGUGGGGUCCAUUCCACGGGUUCCGUGCCGUAGCUAACGCUUUAAGUACCCCGCCUGGGGAGUACGGCCGCAAGGCUAAAACUCAAAGGAAUUGACGGGGCCCCGCACAAGCGGCGGAGCAUGCGGAUUAAUUCGAUGCAACGCGUAGAACCUUACCUGGGUUUGACAUGGAUCGGGAGUGCUCAGAGAUGGGUGUGCCUCUUUUGGGGUCGGUUCACAGGUGGUGCAUGCCUGUCGUCAGCUCGUGUCGUGAGAUGUUGGGUUAAGUCCCGCAACGAGCGCAACCCUUGUUCACUGUUGCCAGCACGUUAUGGUGGGGACUCAGUGGAGACCGCCGGGGUCAACUCGGAGGAAGGUGGGGAUGACGUCAAGUCAUCAUGCCCCUUAUGUCCAGGGCUUCACGCAUGCUACAAUGGCUGGUACAGAGAGUGGCGAGCCUGUGAGGGUGAGCGAAUCUCGGAAAGCCGGUCUCAGUUCGGAUUGGGGUCUGCAACUCGACCUCAUGAAGUCGGAGUCGCUAGUAAUCGCAGAUCAGCAACGCUGCGGUGAAUACGUUCCCGGG
This 1343-nucleotide ribosomal RNA is filed under the name uncultured bacterium. RNAcentral's name for it is "16S ribosomal RNA". It matches the Rfam family "Bacterial small subunit ribosomal RNA", at positions 28 to 1378 of the family's 1533-position model. The record is from RNAcentral.